UUUUAAAUGGCACAAUGCCCAGGCCCUACCCAAGACCCAUUAAAUUAGAACUUCUGAGGGCAGAACCCAGGCAAUGAGGUACUUUAAAGCUUCCCCAGACAAGGUUUCAAAAAUCACUGAAGGCCAUGAGUAGAUGCUCUAAGACUACAACUACUAGACCGGGAUCAGGAAAACUGUCAAGAGCCAAGCAUGUUGUGAGACAGCGACUCCAGCCCAACCUCUCCCCCGACCUUUGUUCUCUCUGGGGCUUGUGACUGUUCUCUUCUUGCUGUCCCCAAAACUGCAGUCGCAAGGUCAGCCAGCAGAGGGCAGCUGGUGUGUCUCUAUCCCUGGUCCUGGCCCCUGGUUGGCCUGCUGCGGUGGCUGCCACACCCAGCUCCACCCUGAGCAGCGCCUGGAGGCCCCCUGGGCAGAGCACUACAGGCAAGGCAGAGUACCAGAGCACACCGUGCCUGAUGUUUCCUGGACACGGAGUCAUCACUACCUGGUGGCCCGAUGGAUUUCAGACGUGAUUUUCUUUUUACUUUUUUUGCGGAUUAAUAAAUUACACACAGUGCAUAGAACUUUAUGCAGGUGGAUACACUUUUACAUAUGUAUACACCUGUGUAGCCUCCACUCAGAAGAUACCAGAAUUUCCAUCACCUCAAGAUGCUCUCUGUACCCCACCCAGUCAACUCCCCUCGCCCCCACAAGGGCAGCCACUAUUUUGUUUUCUUUCACUAGAGAUUAA
This is a long non-coding RNA of Bubalus bubalis (water buffalo), 730 nucleotides long. RefSeq lists it as uncharacterized. NCBI's taxonomy places the organism in Eukaryota, Metazoa, Chordata, Mammalia, Artiodactyla, Bovidae. The record is from RefSeq and is a predicted model, not a curated record. The transcript is spliced from 2 exons.